This 484-nucleotide ribosomal RNA is filed under the name uncultured bacterium. Its description in RNAcentral is "partial 16S ribosomal RNA". It matches the Rfam family "Bacterial small subunit ribosomal RNA", at positions 38 to 507 of the family's 1533-position model. The record is from RNAcentral.
GGGGGGGGGGGGCGGGAGGGGUGAGACGGGGGGGGGGGGCGGGGGAGGGGGGGUUGCUCCGGGAGUCAGCGGCGGAGGGGGGAGGAGUGGCUAGGAAUGUGCGUGGUAGUGGGGGAUAACGUCCGGAAACGGGCGCUACUACCGCAUACGCACGGAGGGAGGAAGCGGGGGAUACUCGGACCUCACGCUAUAAUCAUAGCCUAGGUCUGAUCAGCUAGUUGGUGGGGUAAAGGCCUACCAAGGCGACGAUCCGUAACUGGUCUGAGGGGAUGAGUCGUCACACUGGAACUGAGACACGGUCAAGACUCCUACGGGAGGCAGCAGUAGGGAAUAUUGGACAAUGGGCGAAAGCCUGAUCCAGCCAUGCCGCGUGUGUGAAGAAGGUCUUCGGAUUGUAAAUCACUUUAAGUUGGGAGGAAGGGUAGUAAGUUAAUACAUUGCUGUUUUGACGUUACCAACAGAAUAAGCACCGGCUAACUUCGUG